Molecule: ribosomal RNA, 253 nt
Filed under: uncultured bacterium
Lineage: Bacteria
Description: partial 16S ribosomal RNA
Rfam family: Bacterial small subunit ribosomal RNA
Source: RNAcentral
UACGUAGGUGGCAAGCGUUGUCCGGAUUUACUGGGCGUAAAGGGCGCGUAGGCGGUUUGCAUAGUCAGACGUGAAAUUCCUGGGCUUAACCUGGGGGAUGCGUUUGAUACAUGCAGGCUUGAGUUCGGAAGAGGGUCGUGGAAUUCCCAGUGUAGAGGUGAAAUUCGUAGAUAUCGGGAGGAACACCAGUGGCGAAGGCGGCGAUCUGGGUCGAUACUGACGCUGAGGUGCGAAAGCGUGGGGAGCAAACAGG